GGUAGGGAGCAGAGAGUACAUGUGAGGUGUGGGGGAAGGUAUGAAAACAUUGUUGGGAGCGGAUUGUUGUUGCCGUCGUUUGUUGUACUUGGAGACAAGCGUCGAGGGGAUGGCGAUUGGGGAAGGCGAGAAGAUGGCACUGGGAGGAGAAAGGCAUCAUUUGCCACCGUACAUACAUAUGUGCGUCUGUCAUGACAGUGGACGGUUGUGGGCAAAUCUAGUAUCUACAUGUGGGUUUGUUACUAGGCUUGGUUGGAUCAUAGUUAUGAUUUGUGCUAGAUUCCUUCCUUUGAAGAUUGAAGCUGGAGAACUUUAGGGUGUAGUAUGAUCAACCUGAGAUAUAUCAGAUUUAUAUAGGUAUAGUAUGGUUGGCAUGAGUGUGGUAUUGGUGGACUAUUGGAUCAUCUUGGAUAUUACUACUUGGAUUCUAGGUUGGAGGUAACUUGGGCACUUGGAUUUGUGAUAUUUUGACCUAAGUUUAUGGAUAUGGGCAUGUAGAUGAUAAAUGGAUUGGAGUUGGUAGACUUUGAUGAUUUUGCUAGCCCUCCUCAUAUGUAUUGGACUUAGAUAACUAUGAUACUAGGCUUGGUUGGAUCAUAGUUAUGAUUUGUGCUGGAUUCCUUCAUUUGAAGAUUGAAGCUGGAGAACUUUAGGGUGUAGAGUUAUCAACGUGAGAUAUAUCGAAUUUAUAUAGGUAUAGUAUGAUUGAAAUGAGUGUGCUAUUGGUGGACUAUUGGAUCAUCUUGGAUAUUGUUACUUGGAUUCUAGGUUUAAGAUAAUUUGGGCACUUGGAUUUGUGAUAUUUUGACCUAAGCUUAGUAGUUUGUAUGUGCCCCAUAUGAAUAUGAGCCACGGAGAUGAUACAAAUGGAUCGGAGUUGGUAGACUUCGAUGAUUUUGCUAACCCUCCCCAAAAAUGUUAUGUACAAGAUCAUCAUGGUCGUGGAGGGAAAACUAGGCAUGACUCAACCCAAUGUAUAAGAAGAAAUAUGAUUUUGACCAUGCAAAUGGAAAUACAUGUACAUGCAGUGCCAACGGAAAAAAUGUUAAUUUAGUGGAUUCUGGUACGAAGCCACCUUGCAAGAGGUUAUUGAGUGCAGGCAACCCUGCGUUGGUGAAGGACCCUUCCUUGGCACCGGAGGAAAUGAAGUGACAGGGGUCUUAAGACUGUGAGGGAAAAAUUGGGACGAGUGACUCAGCUCAGGGUUCCUCUUUGCAAGUUCAAGUGAAAAGGCAGAGGAUGGCAGGGCGUGCUGCUCUUGAUAGCGUUUGCAUCGCUUCUUCAUACCUCUCGUGCACUCUUCGUUUCCCGCCGAUUCGACUUGGCGUCCUUACCUUGUUUGAGGGUUAUGUGUCACGGACUUGGUUCCGCAUCCCACGUUCCCUUGCUAGGAGUCCCUAGCCUUGGCGACAGGUAGCGACGUGCACUUGGGCGCUUGGCGUCCUUGGGUAAGUUCGGGGGCGGUGCCCAAGCUUGCAGCUAUGGCGACAACUUGCAUGGGAGCAGAUGAUGUAGGAACAAGGCAGCACACGAGUAACUCGCAGCCAGGGAAAUGAUACCUAGCCGGACAUGCAGGCAGUGGAGAGUACACAAGAGGUGUGGGUAGGGGUGAAAACGCUGCCGGGGAGCUGCUGCCGUUAGUUAGCCUUUAGAUCCAGAGCUGAGUGGCGAGGGUAUGAUCAACCUAAGAUAUAUCAGAUUUAUAUAUGUAUAGUAUGGUUGGCAUGAGUGCGGUAUUGGUGGACUAUUAGAUCAUCUUGGACAUUACUACUUGGAUUCUAGGUUGGAGGUAACUUGGGCACUUGGAUUUGUGAUAUUUUGACCUAAGCUUAGUAGCUUGUAUAUGCCCCAUUGGAUCAUCUUGGAUAUUACUACUUGGAUUCUAGGUUGGAGAUAACUUGGGCACUUGGAUUUGUGAUAUUUUGACCUAAGCUUAGUAGCUUGUAUGUGCCCCAUAUCUGAUAUGAGCAUGGAGAUGAUACAAAUGGAUCGGAGUUGGUAGACUUUGAUGAUUUUGCUAGCCCUCAUAUGUAUUGGACUUAGAUACUAGGCUUGGUUGGAUCAUAGUUAUGAUUUGUGCUGGAUUCCUUCAUUUGAAGAUUGAAGCUGGAGAACUUUAGGUGUAGAGUUAUCAACGUGUGAUAUAUCGGAUUUAUAUAGGUAUGGUAUGAUUGAAAUGAGUGUGGUAUUGGUGGACUAUUGGAUCAUCUUGGAUAUUUGUAGGUUAUUGAGUGCAGGCAACCCUGCGUUGGUGAAGGACCCUUCCUUGCGCCGGAGGAAAUGAAGUGACAUGGGUCUUAAGACUGUGAGGGCAAAAUUGGGACGAGUGACUCAGCUCAGGGUUCCUCUUUGCAAGUUCAAGUGAAAAGGCAGAGGAUGGCAGGGCGCGCUGCUCUUGAUAGCGUUUGCAUCGCUUCUUCAUACCUCUCGUGCACUCUUCGUUUCCCGCCGAUUCGACUUGGCGUCCUUACCUUGUUUGAGGGUUAUGUGUCACGGACUUGGUUCCGCAUCCCACGUUCCCUUGCUAGGAGUCCCUAGCCUUGGCGACAGGUAGCGACGUGCACUUGGGCGCUUGGCGUCCUUGGGUAAGUUCGGGGGCGGUGCCCAAGCUUGCAGCUAUGGUGACAACUUGCAUGGGAGCAGAUGAUGUAGGAACAAGGCAGCACACGAGUAACUCGCAGCCAGGGAAAUGAUACCUAGCCGGACAUGCAGGCAGUGGAGAGUACACGGGAGGUGUGGGUAGGGGUGAAAACGUUGCCGGGAGCUGCUGCCGUUAGUUAGCCUUUAGAUCCAGAGCCGAGUGGCGAGGGUAUGACGAUAGGGGAAGCAUGGAAGAUUCCUUCCUUUGAAGAUUGAAGCUGGAGAACUUUCGGGAGUAGUAUGAUCAACAUAAGACAUAUCGGAUUUGCAUAUGUAUAGUAUGGUCGGCAUGAGUGCGGUAUUGGUGGACUAUUAGAUCAUCUUGGACAUUACUACUUUGAUUCUAGGUUGGAGGUAACUUGGGCACUUGGAUUUGUGAUAUUUUGACCUAAGCUUAGUAGCUUGUAUAUGCCUCAUUGGAUCAUCUUGGAUAUUACUACUUGGAUUCUAGGUUGGAGGUAACUUGGGCACUUGGAUUUGUGAUAUUUUGACCUAAGCUUAGUAGCUUGUAUGUGCCCCAUAUAUGGAUAUGAGCAUGGAGAUGAUACAAAUGGAUCGGGGUUGGUAGACUUUGAUGAUUUUGCUAGCCCUCCCCAUAUGUAUUGGACUUAGAUAACUAUGAUACUAUGCUUGGUUGGAUUAUAAUUAUGAUUUUUGCUAGAUUCCUUUGAAGAUUGAAGCUGGAGAACUUUAGGAUGUAGUAUGAUCAACUUGAGAUAUAUCAGAUUUAUAUAGGCAUAUGUGAUUGGCAUGAGUGUGGUAUUGGUGGACUAUUGGAUCAUCUUGGAUAUCACUACUUGGAUUCUAG
This 3448-nucleotide long non-coding RNA is filed under the name Triticum aestivum (bread wheat). RNAcentral describes it as "long non-coding RNA (TAES_LNC018507)". The record is from RNAcentral. Lineage: Eukaryota; Viridiplantae; Streptophyta; Magnoliopsida; Poales; Poaceae.